RNAcentral lists this ribosomal RNA (496 nucleotides) under uncultured bacterium. RNAcentral's name for it is "partial 16S ribosomal RNA". It matches the Rfam family "Bacterial small subunit ribosomal RNA", at positions 28 to 506 of the family's 1533-position model. The record is from RNAcentral.
GAUGAACGCUGGCGGCGUGCCUAAUACAUGCAAGUCGAGCGAACGGACGAGAAGCUUGCUUCUCUGAUGUUAGCGGCGGACGGGUGAGUAACACGUGGAUAACCUACCUAUAAGACUGGGAUAACUUCGGGAAACCGGAGCUAAUACCGGAUAAUAUUUUGAACCGCAUGGUUCAAAAGUGAAAGACGGUCUUGCUGUCACUUAUAGAUGGAUCCGCGCUGCAUUAGCUAGUUGGUAAGGUAACGGCUUACCAAGGCAACGAUGCAUAGCCGACCUGAGAGGGUGAUCGGCCACACUGGAACUGAGACACGGUCCAGACUCCUACGGGAGGCAGCAGUAGGGAAUCUUCCGCAAUGGGCGAAAGCCUGACGGAGCAACGCCGCGUGAGUGAUGAAGGUCUUAGGAUCGUAAAACUCUGUUAUUAGGGAAGAACAUAUGUGUAAGUAACUGUGCACAUCUUGACGGUACCUAAUCAGAAAGCCACGGCUAACUACGU